RNAcentral lists this ribosomal RNA (329 nucleotides) under uncultured eukaryote. RNAcentral describes it as "partial 18S ribosomal RNA". It matches the Rfam family "Eukaryotic small subunit ribosomal RNA", at positions 1470 to 1796 of the family's 1831-position model. The record is from RNAcentral.
CCCUUAGAUGUUCUGGGCUGCACGCGCGCUACACUGAUGCGUUCAACGAGUUUAUGACCUUGCCCGAUAGGGUUGGGUAAUCUUUUUAAAUCGCAUCGUGAUGGGGAUAGAUUAUUGCAAUUAUUAAUCUUCAACGAGGAAUUCCUAGUAAGCGCGAGUCAUCAGCUCGUGCUGAUUACGUCCCUGCCCUUUGUACACACCGCCCGUCGCUACUACCGAUUGAACGUUUUAGUGAGGUAUUUGGACUGGACCUUCGGAGGUUCGCGCCUCCGUUGCUGUUCGGGAAGACUCCCAAACUUGAGCGUUUAGAGGAAGUAAAAGUCGUAACA